Molecule: transfer RNA, 69 nt
Filed under: Callitettix sp.EMHAU-15090607
Lineage: Eukaryota; Metazoa; Arthropoda; Insecta; Hemiptera; Cercopidae
Description: tRNA-Cys
Source: RNAcentral
GGCUUUAUAGUUAAUAUAUGAUUUUGGAUUGCAAAUCUAAAGUAGAACAUUUAAGUUGUUCUAAGGCUU